Molecule: ribosomal RNA, 429 nt
Filed under: bacterium
Lineage: Bacteria
Description: partial 16S ribosomal RNA
Rfam family: Bacterial small subunit ribosomal RNA
Source: RNAcentral
UAGGGAAUCUUCGGCAAUGGGGGCAACCCUGACCGAGCAACGCCGCGUGAGUGAAGAAGGUUUUCGGAUUGUAAAGCUCUGUUGUAAGAGAAGAACGUGUGUGAGAGUGGAAAGUUCACACAGUGACGGUAACUUACCAGAAAGGGUCGGCUAACUACGUGCCAGCAGCCGCGGUAAUACGUAGGUCCCGAGCGUUGUCCGGAUUUAUUGGGCGUAAAGCGAGCGCAGGCGGUUUAAUAAGUCUGAAGUUAAAGGCAGUGGCUUAACCAUUGUUCGCUUUGGAAACUGUUAAACUUGAGUGCAGAAGGGGAGAGUGGAAUUCCAUGUGUAGCGGUGAAAUGCGUAGAUAUAUGGAGGAACACCGGUGGCGAAAGCGGCUCUCUGGUCUGUAACUGACGCUGAGGCUCGAAAGCGUGGGGAGCAAACAGG